This 277-nucleotide long non-coding RNA is filed under the name Numida meleagris (helmeted guineafowl). RNAcentral describes it as "lncRNA (ENSNMEG00000004741.1)". The record is from RNAcentral. Lineage: Eukaryota; Metazoa; Chordata; Aves; Galliformes; Numididae.
CUGACCUUUCAAGACCGGGAGAUUAUUGAUAUCCAGGAGAGUAGGACAUAUGGCCAGGGCACAGAACAUCAGGGAGGGAACUACAGAUCAUUUUGUUAGCAGAGCUGCACACCUUUGUGCAAGAGAAGAACAAACCAUUGUACUGUCAGGAAUUUUCACAAAAUGUUUUCACUUGGAAUGUAGAAGCAAUCCUAUACAGGAAACUAAGUAUGACAAAGCACCUCAAUCUCAUUCAUGGAAAUACACACUGAGCAUAAUUACUGCUCCCACAAUGCUG